CCUUUUUUUCUAGUCUGGGAUUGGAUGAUGGAACACUAUGGCGACCGAGUGUGGGUGGAGCUCUAUCCUAUCAGAGACCUACUCAAAAGAAACUGGUUUUGGAUCAGAUGGGUCCUCAGAAUGAGGAAACUCAUUGUUCGUGAAAUCAGCACGACUACUGAAUUCAAACAGGGCAGGACAAAGGAAACAAGAGGAGCUGAUGGCAAUGUGUGAGAAGAACUGCUGUGUGCUACAGUGCACAUAAAGUAAGCCCAGUGAGGGACCAGACCACUUGUGUCUUCGUUAGGUUUGCUGCUCUUAAUCUUCUUAAUGCUGCUGUUC
Micropterus dolomieu (smallmouth bass) is the source of this 321-nucleotide long non-coding RNA. RefSeq lists it as uncharacterized. The record is from RefSeq and is a predicted model, not a curated record. Lineage: Eukaryota; Metazoa; Chordata; Actinopteri; Centrarchiformes; Centrarchidae. The transcript has 3 exons.